RNAcentral lists this ribosomal RNA (464 nucleotides) under uncultured bacterium. RNAcentral describes it as "partial 16S ribosomal RNA". It matches the Rfam family "Bacterial small subunit ribosomal RNA", at positions 339 to 795 of the family's 1533-position model. The record is from RNAcentral.
CUACGGGCCGCUGCAGUGAGGAAUUUUGCGCAAUGGGGGAAACCCUGACGCAGCAACGCCGCGUGAGCGAAGAAGGCCCUCGGGUCGUAAAGCUCUGUCAAGUGGGAAAAAAAUUUUUUGAUCAAUAGUCAAAAGACUUGAUGGUACCACUGGAGGAAGCACCGGCUAACUCCGUGCCAGCAGCCGCGGUAAUACGGAGGGUGCGAGCGUUGUUCGGAUUUACUGGGCGUAAAGAGCGUGUAGGCGGUUUAGCAAGUCAGAUGUGAAAGCCCUGGGCUCAACCCGGGAAGUGCAUUUGAAACUGCGUCACUAGAGUAUGGGAGAGGAGAUUGGAAUUCCUGGUGUAGAGGUGAAAUUCGUAGAUAUCAGGAGGAACACCCGUGGCGAAGGCGAUUCUCUGGACCAAUACUGACGCUGAGACGCGAAAGCGUGGGGAGCAAACAGGAUUAGAUACCCUGGUAGUC